ACGUAGGGGGCGAGCGUUGUCCGGAAUCACUGGGUGUAAAGGGUGCUCAGGCGGGUCGAUAAGUCAGAGGUGAAAUUUCACAGCUUAACUGUGAAUGUGCUUUUGAUACUGUCGGUCUAGAGUUCAGAAGAGGGCAAUGGAAUUCUUGGUGUAGCGGUAAAAUGCAUAGAUAUCAAGAAGAACACCAGUUGCGAAGGCGGUUGCCUGGUCUGUAACUGACGCUCAAGCACGAAAGCGUGGGGAUCAAACAG
Molecule: ribosomal RNA, 251 nt
Filed under: uncultured prokaryote
Description: partial 16S rRNA
Rfam family: Bacterial small subunit ribosomal RNA
Source: RNAcentral